CAUAUGCUUUUAAUACACAUCUGGACAAAGCCUUAGAAAGCAAUUCUAAAAGUUCAUUGUGAAUCAUGUAAUCCCUGAUUUUAAGAAGUUUCAAGAAAGGAAGAAAAUUGAGAUCUAUUAUUUUUCUCUGUUCAUUUCAAGGAACAAUGCAGAACAGUCUUCAAAGUACAGAUGAAGAUUUUCUGUGCUCCCACUUCUUGCCUUUGCAAAUUAGAUUCCACAUAUUCUCGUAGAACUUUGUAAAUCUUCUUGGGGAUCCCAGAUGGAAAACACUGAUUUUAAAAGAAAAUAAAAAUCAACAAAGAAAAAUGGAUAAGUCGGAAGAAAAUACACAGAACGUCGGACAUUUCAGAGGAUACAAAUCAUCAACUGGGUGAAGUUUAACAAGGAAGAGUGACAGAUUCUACAUUCGGAAGAUUCUGGACAUCUGCACAGACUGGGGAACCACAGGCUGGAGAGCAGCCCCCUGGAAAGUGAUCUCAGAGUCCUCAUU
Long non-coding RNA from Hirundo rustica (Barn swallow), 493 nucleotides. RefSeq lists it as uncharacterized. Lineage: Eukaryota; Metazoa; Chordata; Aves; Passeriformes; Hirundinidae. The record is from RefSeq and is a predicted model, not a curated record. The transcript is spliced from 3 exons.